AUUAAUUAAUUAAAAUAAUUAUGUCUUCCACCCAAACCUUAUACUUAUUCUUAUCAGAAAACCCUAAUCAAUGAAACCCUAUUCUCUCAAUUAUGGCAUCCACCCAAACUGACAAAAAUCAAAGUCAAAAUCAAGAAUCAAACGUAAGUAUGAUCUAUCCUUUCAUCCAUUCAUUAGCUAGUGUAAUUCUCGGAAUAUUUCAUGGCAUCGUUGUUUUUUUUUAUUUUGUUUUUUUUUGAGUUUUUUGAUUGAAUACAUGUUUUGAUUUGUUUUCUCGAUUAGAAAAUCAUUUGGUCAAACGAGACCACAUUUGCGUUACUUCAACGGGUUAUUGUGGAGAAAUAAACGGAAGAAUCCAAAGACCCCAAAAUCAGAUUUCUAAGUGAUGUUCAAAAAGAAAAUAUUCUUAAGAAUAUUAACGUUUGGAAAAAAUUUGAGUUGGAGAUGUGUUAAAAAUCGUUUGGAUAUCUUGAAGAAACUUUAUCAUAUGUAUAGAGGCAAUCCGGAAAACCCGCGAGUUCAACGUUAUUUACAGUUUAUCACACUACUUGAUGCAAUUUUUGGUGAUGUACCAAAUGCAUAAAGUAUUAAACUUUUUCUUACAAAAUUUAUUUAUUUUUGAAUUUUUAGUUUUAUUUAUGGUUUUAAUUAUUAAGUAUGUUU
RNAcentral lists this small RNA (663 nucleotides) under Arabidopsis thaliana (thale cress). RNAcentral describes it as "ATSL143260". Lineage: Eukaryota; Viridiplantae; Streptophyta; Magnoliopsida; Brassicales; Brassicaceae. The record is from RNAcentral.